GGUAGGGGAGCGUCGUGUAUGGGGUGAAGUCGCAUCGGAAGGAGCGGUGGACUGUACACGAGUGAGAAUGCCGGAAUGAGUAGCGAGAAUUAUGUGGGAAUCAUAAUGGCCGAAAAUCUAAGGUUUCUUGGGGAAGGUUCGUCCGCCCAAGGUAAGCCGGGAGCUAAGGCGAGGCCGCAAGGCGUAGUCGAUGCACAUACGGUAAAGAUUCCGUAGCCGCCGAACUUUAAGUCAGAGGGACACUUGCAGAUAGCGGAACCCAGCCGUUGGUUGAGCUGGGCGAAAGGGACUGAAAUUAGUAGGGAAGUCCGCGAUGCUGAAAGGCGAGAAAAGCUCUGAUGGAUACUAAGGCGCCCGUACCGCAAACCGACACAGGUAGAUGAGGAGAGAAUCCUAAGGCCAACGGGAGAAGGGUUGUUAAGGAACUCGGCAAAUUGACCCCGUAACUUCGGAAGAAGGGGAGCCCCGAAAGGGGCCGCAGUGAAUAGGCCCAAGCAACUGUUUACCAAAAACACAGGUUUAUGCUAAAUCGAAAGAUGACGUAUAUGAGCUGACGCCUGCCCGGUGCCGGAAGGUUAAGAGGAGAGCUUAGAGGCAACUCGAAGGUUUGAAUUGAAGCCCCGGUAAACGGCGGCCGUAACUAUAACGGUCCUAAGGUAGCGAAAUUCCUUGUCAGGUAAGUUCUGACCCGCACGAAUGGCGUAAUGAUUUGGGCACUGUCUCAACAGCCCGCCCGGCGAAAUUGUAGUACUGGUGAAGAUGCCAGUUACCCGCAACUAGACGGAAAGACCCCAUGGAGCUUUACUGCAGUUUAAUACUGGGAAUCGGUAAUGCAUGUACAGGAUAGGUGGGAGACAUGGAAGCAUGGUCGUCAGGUCAUGUGGAGUCACCGGUGGGAUACCACUCUUGUAUUGCUGAUUUCCUAACCUGCGGCCGUGAAUCCGGUCGGGGGACACUGUUAGACGGGCAGUUUGACUGGGGCGGUCGCCUCCAAAAGAGUAACGGAGGCGCUCAAAGGUUCGUUCAGCACGGACGGAAAUCGUGCAUUGAGUGUAAACGCAUAAACGAGCCUAACUGCGAGACCGACGGGUCGAGCAGUAACGAAAGUUGGAGUUAGUGAUCCGGUGGUAUGUGAGUGGAAAUGCCAUCGCUCAACGGAUAAAAG
This 1165-nucleotide ribosomal RNA is filed under the name human gut metagenome. RNAcentral's name for it is "bacterial LSU rRNA". It matches the Rfam family "Bacterial large subunit ribosomal RNA", at positions 1227 to 2462 of the family's 2925-position model. The record is from RNAcentral.